This 550-nucleotide ribosomal RNA is filed under the name uncultured bacterium. RNAcentral describes it as "bacterial SSU rRNA". It matches the Rfam family "Bacterial small subunit ribosomal RNA", at positions 355 to 896 of the family's 1533-position model. The record is from RNAcentral.
UAGGGAAUCUUCGGCAAUGGGGGCAACCCUGACCGAGCAACGCCGCGUGAGUGAAGAAGGUUUUCGGAUCGUAAAGCUCUGUUGUAAGUCAAGAACGAGUGUGAGAGUGGAAAGUUCACACUGUGACGGUAGCUUACCAGAAAGGGACGGCUAACUACGUGCCAGCAGCCGCGGUAAUACGUAGGUCCCGAGCGUUGUCCGGAUUUAUUGGGCGUAAAGCGAGCGCAGGCGGUUUGAUAAGUCUGAAGUUAAAGGCUGUGGCUCAACCAUAGUUCGCUUUGGAAACUGUCAAACUUGAGUGCAGAAGGGGAGAGUGGAAUUCCAUGCGUAGCGGUGAAAUGCGUAGAUAUAUGGAGGAACACCGGUGGCGAAAGCGGCUCUCUGGUCUGUAACUGACGCUGAGGCUCGAAAGCGUGGGGAGCGAACAGGAUUAGAUACCCUGGUAGUCCACGCCGUAAACGAUGAGUGCUAGGUGUUGGAUCCUUUCCGGGAUUCAGUGCCGCAGCUAACGCAUUAAGCACUCCGCCUGGGGAGUACGACCGCAAGGNUG